Molecule: long non-coding RNA, 818 nt
Filed under: Parus major (Great Tit)
Lineage: Eukaryota; Metazoa; Chordata; Aves; Passeriformes; Paridae
Description: lncRNA (ENSPMJG00000004293.1)
Source: RNAcentral
CAAACACAGAUCUUCUGGAUUUGAUCUUCGAGGUUUUUUCCGACCUCAGGAAUUCUGUGAUUCUCUAGAAUGACAGCAAAAAGGAGAAAAUUUCCUCCAGUGGCUUUGGACAGAUCCUCACAGCUGAAGAGGAAAAUCUUCUCGUGCCUCAGACACCAUCCCCUUGGGCCAGGCUGAAGGUCACUGUCCAGAAGAGUCCAGAGCUCUGACUAACACUGGUUUUGUGGUUUUUGGUUAAAUCCAUGGAUUUCUGAGGUGCUGUGUCGAAGUUACAGAGGAUUUUCCAGAACAGAAGGAACACAGAGAGACUUCAGGAAGAUCUUUCUCAUUUCCAGUGCCACCUGUGUGAGCGAUGUCUCCUCUUGUGCCAGACUUCCCCUCAUCCAGCUCUCCCCACCUCCUCCUGAGGCCAAGACAAGUUUUUCCAUUUAUUUCUCUGACUGCUGCUCGAAGCCCUGACUGUGCUGGCACAACCUUGAAGGCUUACACAAGACAGAAGUGUAGUUUCGUGAAAACCAUUUGCUGGAGUUGCAGUCUGUUUCUCUGAGGGAUUCCAGCCGUGCUGCAGAAGAGGGAUGAGAGCCUGAGGGGUGGUUGAUGUCACAGGAUGGUGUUUCUGCUGUUUCCAUCCCCUUUUUUUGGGAUGUUACCCACUGAAGCUGCAUUUCAAAAGCACUUUUAAAACUGCAAAGCCAAACCUUCAAAAGCUGGGCAACGCCAAUGGGACUUGGGCAAUCCUAAAGAGAAUGAUAAGGGGAAAAAAUACUCUCACAUCUGCCUGCUCAUGCUGCCCCCGAGGUGAAAUCCCAAUAAACAAG